UAAGUUCCUCAUCCUUAGACGUCACUUAGGUCUCUUACUUCCAUGCUAGCUCGUUGUUUUUAGGUUUUUUUUUCCUGGAACGUUAGAAAAUCUGGUGAAAUGCAUUCUCAUCUGCAUACUAGCUGUGAUGUCACUCUGCCCCUGCUACCUGCAGGGGUCUGGUGUCACCUCUGGCAAGCAUGAGUGCGGGUACAAUGGCUAAUCACCAACCAUUAACAGAUAAUUGAAGAAGAACUCUUAACAAUAGGUGGCUGCAACAUGCAGGUGAUGUGCUGCAGUUUUUCAGUGUGUGAGGAGGUGCAAAAGAAUAAGCUUACACCUCAACUUUCCUUAGUAGAGAGGAACAUGCAGUGUUCUCUUUUCCUGGGAUCUCUUGAGGAAGUUUCAUAGACACUUCUCACUCAAUGGAACAAGGAAAUAUUCUGUGAAAUUGAAGAAUAAUAAACUCAAAACUCAUGAACAGGAAAAAAUCACUCAGUCCGUAACUACGAUCCUUAUAAUUAGAGGUAGGAGCGGCAAAGAGGUUAGUCAGUUCUUUCAAGUAAAUAAUAAAAUCACUGAAUGCUCUGGUCUGUAAAUAUAAAUCUUGUCUUUUAAUUUUUUUUACAAAAAUAAAAAACAUUCCGGGUUUUAAUGUCUCUUAAUUUUAUAUAAAAAUUCAUCUUGCUUAUAAAGCUUAAAUAAUUCAAAAUGUUGUCUAGA
Molecule: long non-coding RNA, 702 nt
Organism: Passer domesticus (house sparrow)
Lineage: Eukaryota; Metazoa; Chordata; Aves; Passeriformes; Passeridae
Exons: 3
Source: RefSeq, a predicted model, not a curated record